UACGUAGGGCGCAAGCGUUGUCCGGAAUUAUUGGGCGUAAAGAGCUCGUAGGCGGCCUGUUGCGUCCGCUGUGAAAUCCCGGGGCUCAACCCCGGGCGUGCAGUGGAUACGGGCUGGCUGGAGGCAGGCAGGGGAGAACGGAAUUCCUGGUGUAGCGGUGAAAUGCGCAGAUAUCAGGAGGAACACCGGUGGCGAGGCGGUUCUCUGGGCUUGUACUGACGCUGAGGAGCGAAAGCGUGGGGAGCGAACAGG
This 252-nucleotide ribosomal RNA is filed under the name uncultured bacterium. RNAcentral's name for it is "partial 16S ribosomal RNA". It matches the Rfam family "Bacterial small subunit ribosomal RNA", at positions 524 to 776 of the family's 1533-position model. The record is from RNAcentral.